CCCGUGCUACAACCGCUCAUAACAGGUUAUUAAGCACUGAAAAGUCACCUGGUAUAUGGCGAGUCUGAGUGAAAUU
Jeotgalibacillus malaysiensis is the source of this 76-nucleotide non-coding RNA. Lineage: Bacteria; Bacillati; Bacillota; Bacilli; Caryophanales; Caryophanaceae. The record is from Rfam.